GAAAGAGCGUCUGUUGAAGUGAUGAGUUGUAGCCUUAUUUAUGGGAUAUUUCCCCUCUUUCA
This 62-nucleotide transfer RNA is filed under the name Dreissena rostriformis. RNAcentral describes it as "tRNA-Tyr". The record is from RNAcentral. Lineage: Eukaryota; Metazoa; Mollusca; Bivalvia; Myida; Dreissenidae.